This 268-nucleotide unclassified non-coding RNA is filed under the name Hevea brasiliensis (rubber tree). The record is from RNAcentral. Lineage: Eukaryota; Viridiplantae; Streptophyta; Magnoliopsida; Malpighiales; Euphorbiaceae.
CAAAUGGUUUGGAAAAUUAUAUAACUGGUCCCAAUUCCCAACUGGAUCAGGAUUACAGUUGAGUUCAAAUUCCUUGAAUAUCAUGGAGAGUCCAUGUGUGUUAAGUUGAACUUCUAAUGGUUGGCUAGUUUGGCCUCUAAUUAUUUAUUUAUUUUUUUCAAUUGAUUGUUGAAGCUAAGACCUCUUUGAGCUGCUUAGAAGAUGCCCCAACUGCUAGGAAAGAAUUGGCUUGUAGGUCACAAACAUUACAGAAUAUUUUAGAAGAUGG